This 858-nucleotide ribosomal RNA is filed under the name uncultured Alphaproteobacteria bacterium. Its description in RNAcentral is "bacterial SSU rRNA". It matches the Rfam family "Bacterial small subunit ribosomal RNA", at positions 9 to 916 of the family's 1533-position model. The record is from RNAcentral. Lineage: Bacteria; Pseudomonadati; Pseudomonadota; Alphaproteobacteria.
GAGUUUGAUCCUGGCUCAGAACGAACGCUGGCGGCAGGCUUAACACAUGCAAGUCGAACGCCCCGCAAGGGGAGUGGCAGACGGGUGAGGAACACGUGGGAACGUACCCUUCGGUUCGGAACAACCCUGGGAAACUAGGGCUAAUACCGGAUACGAGCGAGAGCUGAAAGGUUUACCGCCGAAGGAUCGGCCCGCGUCUGAUUAGCUAGUUGGUGAGGUAACGGCUCACCAAGGCGACGAUCAGUAGCUGGUCUGAGAGGAUGAUCAGCCACAUUGGGACUGAGACACGGCCCAAACUCCUACGGGAGGCAGCAGUGGGGAAUAUUGGACAAUGGGCGCAAGCCUGAUCCAGCCAUGCCGCGUGAGUGAUGACGGCCUUAGGGUUGUAAAGCUCUUUUACCUGGGAAGAUAAUGACGGUACCGGGAGAAUAAGCCCCGGCUAACUUCGUGCCAGCAGCCGCGGUAAUACGAAGGGGGCUAGCGUUGUUCGGAUUUACUGGGCGUAAAGCGCACGUAGGCGGAAAUUUAAGUCAGGGGUGAAAUCCCGAGGCUCAACCUCGGAACUGCCUUUGAUACUGGGUUUCUUGAGUCCGGAAGAGGUGAGUGGAACUGCGAGUGUAGAGGUGAAAUUCGUAGAUAUUCGCAAGAACACCAGUGGCGAAGGCGGCUCACUGGUCCGGAACUGACGCUGAGGUGCGAAAGCGUGGGGAGCAAACAGGAUUAGAUACCCUGGUAGUCCACGCCGUAAACGAUGGAUGCUAGCCGUUGGAUCGCUUGCGAUUCAGUGGCGCAGUUAACGCUUUAAGCAUCCCGCCUGGGGAGUACGGUCGCAAGAUUAAAACUCAAAGGAAUUGACGG